UCCAGACUCCUACGGGAGGCAGCAGUGGGGGAUAUUGCACAAUGGGGGAAACCCUGAUGCAGCGACGCCGCGUGGGCGAAGAAGUAUUUCGGUAUGUAAGGCCCUAUCAGCAGGGAAGAAGAAAUGACGGUACCUGAGUAAGAAGCACCGGCUAAAUACGUGCCAGCAGCCGCGGUAAUACGUAUGGUGCAAGCGUUAUCCGGAUUUACUGGGUGUAAAGGGAGCGCAGGCGGCACGGCAAGCCUGAUGUGAAAGCCCGCGGCCCAACCGCGGGACUGCAUUGGGAACUACCGGGCUGGAGUGCCGGAGAGGUAGGCGGAAUUCCUAGUGUAGCGGUGAAAUGCGUAGAUAUAAGGAAGAACACCAGUGGCGAAGGCGGAUGACUGGACGGCAACUGACGGUGAGGCGCGAAAGCGUGGGGAGCAAACGGGAUUAGAUACCCCAGUACG
RNAcentral lists this ribosomal RNA (449 nucleotides) under uncultured bacterium. RNAcentral's name for it is "partial 16S ribosomal RNA". It matches the Rfam family "Bacterial small subunit ribosomal RNA", at positions 330 to 793 of the family's 1533-position model. The record is from RNAcentral.